Molecule: long non-coding RNA, 2657 nt
Organism: Passer montanus (Eurasian tree sparrow)
Lineage: Eukaryota; Metazoa; Chordata; Aves; Passeriformes; Passeridae
Exons: 4
Source: RefSeq, a predicted model, not a curated record
UAAUCAGCCUUCUGAAACAUGGAGUCAAGAUUCUCUCUCUUCACUUGUCCUGGGACCCUUGAACACAACCAUAGCUGCCUGAGGUGAGGAGAAGCUGCCACAGGUCUCACUUGAAGCUGGAGAGUCCAGCUGGAUUUUGUGAGUGCCCCAGGCACAGAGGAAGCUCCCACUGAAGUUUGUACUUCCCAGACCUGAGGGGAUUUUGUAGAGCUCCAGAUAUGGAUGACAGGGCUGCUUCUUGUUCUGGUUAUUUAAGUUUCCAAAGACUGCAUGGUGUCCAGUGAAAUCAGUCCAGCUUGCCAUGAGGCUUCACUGCCCAGUGCAGAGGAUCCUUGGAGGCAACAGAUGGGAAAGAGAUGUCAGCUCAGCAGCAAGAAGGGAGCCUUUGAACGGGAGUGAGGGCAGCACUGAGAGAAGCAAUGGAACAUUUAAAGUUGGUAAAGAGCACUUAUGGCUGGGGUCCAAGUGAAGGUGGCUGAAGGCAGGGUCUCAGGUGGGGCAGGGUGUUUAUGUCCCAGCAGGAGAUGCCAGAAGAUAAUGGGAAUACUUUUUCUGUUUCAUCACGUUUCUCAGGAAAAAACAGAGGGUAAGGCAAUGCUGAAAUCCUCAGAGGAACAUGGAAAAGCAUUUAUUGUCUCCAAAACAUGAAAAGAAAAACUAUCAGAUGAAAACUGAUCUAUUUCAGCUAUUUGCACUUGAAUGUCUAGAAUUUACAAAACCUUAUCUAAGAGGGUGGCUCUUCCUUGAUUGCUUCUAGUCCUGUUCACUACCAAAGAUUAAACCUUUAGAGACUUGGGCUGGAAACUUCACCAGAAAUUGCUGGUGAACCAAAAUAAAAAUGGGGGAAGCUGAGUAAACAUAAACUAACUGUGUUAAGUGUCUGUCUCUGAAGGGUCAUAAAAUCUAUUUUGAGAAGCUCAGCUGUAAGUUUAAGCAUCAGGAUAGCUUUAAGUAACUCAGCCUGUUUUACAGGUGUUUUAAAGCAGCCUGGAAAAGAACAGGAGGAUUGCUCAUGCUGAGGGUCUCCAGGACAGGACACACUGUCUGUCUCCUGUGCUGGUGUAGGGAUGUGCCAUGAGCACUACAGCACUCUGCUGCUUCCAGCCUGUGGAAUAACUGAUGGAUAACACAAGAGAGGAGUCCCUGUGAGUGGGUGGAUAAUAGAAAUGUUCUGGACAGUCAGAAUGCUGCUGGAGAUGACAUAUGGGAAGAAAAUCACUGCUGGAGUGCAUUUGAGGAGGGCCUACCUUCUGGUUAUCUGUGUAACAGCUGAGAUCAAAGAACCUUUACAUGUGUUGGCUUUUAAGCAUCCCUGAAUCCAGAGCUGGGCAGGGAGAGCUAAGGAGAAGAAAAGGCAACACUGGAAGACUGAGGCAGUUGAUCCAGUGCUGGAAAAGUGUUCCCAGGUAUCUUCUCAAGGAGCAAAAUUUGACAGUGUGGCUGUUUCCUGCUCCUGAAAAAGCUCCCUGUGUCCAGCACAGAGCCACAUGCAGCUCUUAACUCAUUACCUGGCCAUGGAUCAUCAAGGAAGUUGCUAAUACCUGUGAAAUUUGGUCCUACCAUGAGAAAAUGGUUGUUAGUAUGGCACUCCAUCCUUCAGUAAAUAUGCUGCAUGUGGAUAUUUAUAGUCCUGCCUGCUCCCUUCAGUGAGAACAGGACGUUCUCCCUCCCAUAAGCUCUGUACAGCUGCCAGGAGAGAUGGUGGAAGCCUUUCCUCCCCUCACCUUCCGUGGAUGUUCAUUGGUUUCAGCUCCACAGCCCCUGCAAUAUCCAAGGAUCUGUGUAAGUGUUUGAAAGGAUCUAAUUUAAAAGGCUAGCUGUCUCUUCUAGGCAGUGCUGGUAUCCGUGGGUGAGUUUGAUUGGCUUGCAGACCAUGUGUUAAUUUCAGGGACAAGAAUAAAAAGAGGAAAAAGCCAGUUCCCAUCUGCUCACUGAGCUGCUCCUAUCCUUGGGGACACACAGCUUGUGUCCUGAGCCUCUCUGACAGCGCUGUGGGGUGGUUCCAGGCAGGUGUGGGGGUGACCUGCUCCCCUCCCUCUCCCUGCCCUUCCUGGCAUCCCUGUGUCCAUCCCUCGAGGAGCCUGGGGCAGCUGGCUCAUCCCCCUGGGUCCGGGGGCCUUGGGGCUGAAAUCAAAGGGAAUUGCUUGGACACCAAAAGCUUCCAUCAGAUACACCUGGUAUUUGUGAGAACUGCUCCCUGCUGAUGAGUCUGGGCACAGAGCAACGAGGAAUUCUCAGGAAGGUUGGAUUUCAAUGGGGAUGACUCUUUUUCCCUGCCAGCUGUUUCCCUUUUAGCUGUGUUCUCUCUAAUGAAAUUGCCCAUUCAGCGCUGGGUUUGUAAUUUAAACUGAGUGCUAUAGAUUAACAGUUGUUGCUGCUUUAUUAUUGAAAUGAGAGUCAUGAGAUCAAUUUAACUCUUCCUGGCUUCAUUAUUUGCUUAAGACAAUAGACUUAUCUCUUCAAAUUCUAUUGCUCUGUGGGUAUUUUUAGCUUAAUUAUCAUAGAUAUUAGCAACAAUCAAGAAAGGUUUCUUAGGUGCAAGUGCUUGCUCCUUGGAACACUAGGUUCUUAUAGAUUUGGUACUUUUAACUUAUCUUCCUCUUUUGUAGUCAAUCCAGUCUGCUCUCAGAAAGAAGCAACCAAACAGGAACAACAGC